RNAcentral lists this ribosomal RNA (853 nucleotides) under uncultured Flavobacteriaceae bacterium. RNAcentral describes it as "bacterial SSU rRNA". It matches the Rfam family "Bacterial small subunit ribosomal RNA", at positions 35 to 886 of the family's 1533-position model. Lineage: Bacteria; Pseudomonadati; Bacteroidota; Flavobacteriia; Flavobacteriales; Flavobacteriaceae. The record is from RNAcentral.
GCUAGCGGCAGGCCUAAUACAUGCAAGUCGAGGGGUAACAGGAAGUGCUUGCACUUCGCUGACGACCGGCGCACGGGUGAGUAUCGCGUAUACAAUCUGCCUCAUACUAGAGGAUAGCCCGAAGAAAUUUGGAUUAAUACUCUAUGGUAUCUAAAAAAGGCAUCUUUUUUAGAUUAAAGGUUACGGUAUGAGAUGAGUAUGCGUUCUAUUAGUUUGUAGGUGUGGUAACGGCACACCUAGACUACGAUAGAUAGGGGCCCUGAGAGGGGGACCCCCCACACUGGUACUGAGACACGGACCAGACUCCUACGGGAGGCAGCAGUAAGGAAUAUUGGUCAAUGGACGCAAGUCUGAACCAGCCAUGCCGCGUGCAGGAUGACGGCCCUAUGGGUUGUAAACUGCUUUUAUACAGGAAGAAAAACUUUCUCGUGAGAGAGCUUGACGGUACUGUAAGAAUAAGGAUCGGCUAACUCCGUGCCAGCAGCCGCGGUAAUACGGAGGAUCCAAGCGUUAUCCGGAAUCAUUGGGUUUAAAGGGUCCGUAGGUGGACAGAUAAGUCAGAGGUGAAAUCCUGCAGCUCAACUGUAGAACUGCCUUUGAUACUGUUUGUCUUGAGUUAUUGUGAAGUGGUUAGAAUGUGUAGUGUAGCGGUGAAAUGCAUAGAUAUUACACAGAAUACCGAUUGCGAAGGCAGAUCACUAACAAUUAACUGACACUGAUGGACGAAAGCGUGGGUAGCGAACAGGAUUAGAUACCCUGGUAGUCCACGCCGUAAACGAUGGUCACUAGCUGUUCGGACUUCGGUCUGAGUGGCUAAGCGAAAGUGAUAAGUGACCCACCUGGGGAGUACGUC